Molecule: non-coding RNA, 410 nt
Organism: Pelobates cultripes (western spadefoot toad)
Lineage: Eukaryota; Metazoa; Chordata; Amphibia; Anura; Pelobatidae
Source: the annotation of a GenBank genome assembly
UUCCGCAGAGCGACUGACCCGUGCGAGCUGCAGUUGACACUCCCACCAAGGCAAGAUCACCCAGCUCAUCAUGCUAGAGCACGUUUUUAAUGGGCUCCCCAACAACAAGGCGAUGUGUCAUCCAUAUCAACUUUCAAUGCCAUUUACUGGUGACCACGGGUAACUGGGAAUAAGGGUUCGAUUCCUGAGAGGGAGCCUGAGAAACGGCUACCACAUGCAAGGAAGGCAGCAGGCACGCAAAUUAACCACUAACAAUGUGGGAAGGUAGUGAUGACAAAUAACAAUACAGGACUCUUUAGAGGCCCUGUAAUUGUAAUGAGUCCACUUGAAAUCCUUUAACUCUGAUCAAUUGGAGGGCAAGUCUGGUGCAGAGCAACUGACCCGUGCGUGCUGCAGUUGAAACUCCACUA